AAGGAUCAUUAUUGAAUAAGCUUGGUUGGGUUGUUGCUGGCUCUUCGGAGCAUGUGCACGCCUAACACCAACCUUUUACCACCUGUGCACCUUUUGUAGACCUGGAUAUCUUUCGAGGAAACUCGGUAUGAGGACUGCUGUGCGUCAAGCCAGCUUUUCUUACAUUUCCGGUCUAUGUUUUUAUAUACCCCUUCAGUAUGUCUAUGAAUGUUAUUAUUGGGCUUAACUGUCCUAUAAACUUAUACAACUUUCAACAACGGAUCUCUUGGCUCUC
This 274-nucleotide unclassified non-coding RNA is filed under the name uncultured fungus. RNAcentral describes it as "partial contains 18S rRNA, ITS1, 5.8S rRNA, ITS2 and 28S rRNA". Lineage: Eukaryota; Fungi. The record is from RNAcentral.